AUUGAACGCUGGCGGCAGGCUUAACACAUGCAAGUCGAGCGGAUGAAGGGAGCUUGCUCCUGGAUUCAGCGGCGGACGGGUGAGUAAUGCCUAGGAAUCUGCCUGGUAGUGGGGGAUAACGUCCGGAAACGGGCGCUAAUACCGCAUACGUCCUGAGGGAGAAAGUGGGGGAUCUUCGGACCUCACGCUAUCAGAUGAGCCUAGGUCGGAUUAGCUAGUUGGUGGGGUAAAGGCCUACCAAGGCGACGAUCCGUAACUGGUCUGAGAGGAUGAUCAGUCACACUGGAACUGAGACACGGUCCAGACUCCUACGGGAGGCAGCAGUGGGGAAUAUUGGACAAUGGGCGAAAGCCUGAUCCAGCUAUGCCGCGUGUGUGAAGAAGGUCUUCGGAUUGUAAAGCACUUUAAGUUGGGAGGAAGGGCAGUAAGUUAAUACCUUGCUGUUUUGACGUUACCAACAGAAUAAGCACCGGCUAACUUCGUG
RNAcentral lists this ribosomal RNA (484 nucleotides) under uncultured bacterium. Its description in RNAcentral is "partial 16S ribosomal RNA". It matches the Rfam family "Bacterial small subunit ribosomal RNA", at positions 30 to 507 of the family's 1533-position model. The record is from RNAcentral.